GUGGAUGUGGCGCAGUUGGUUAGCGCGCCAGAUUGUGGCUCUGGAGGCCGAGGGUUCGAGUCCCCUCAUCCACCCCA
This 77-nucleotide transfer RNA is filed under the name Clostridia bacterium. Its description in RNAcentral is "tRNA-His". It matches the Rfam family "tRNA". From Rfam's summary of the family: Transfer RNA (tRNA) molecules are approximately 80 nucleotides in length. Their secondary structure includes four short double-helical elements and three loops (D, anti-codon, and T loops). Lineage: Bacteria; Bacillati; Bacillota; Clostridia. The record is from RNAcentral.